GUGAAUCAUCGAAUUUUUGAACGCAAAUUGCGCUCUCUUCGGAGCUUAUGCCUGUUUGAGGGUCAGCCUAAAAAAAAUCGCCAUAGUCGCUGUUUUCGCGGUGACAUUCGUCGGCAAUUGGGUCAUCUUAAACGUUUGGGUUUUACGCGGCUUAACAUUUUCUUUACGGAUUCCACGAACGUUUCUAAGCUUUACUUCUUACACACGUUUACGGUA
RNAcentral lists this unclassified non-coding RNA (216 nucleotides) under Glomus sp. RNAcentral describes it as "partial contains 5.8S ribosomal RNA and internal transcribed spacer 2". Lineage: Eukaryota; Fungi; Glomeromycota; Glomeromycetes; Glomerales; Glomeraceae. The record is from RNAcentral.